AUUGAACGCUGGCGGCAUGCUUUACACAUGCAAGUCGAACGGCAGCGCGGGCUUCGGCCUGGCGGCGAGUGGCGAACGGGUGAGUAAUGCAUCGGAACGUGCCCAGUAGUGGGGGAUAGCCCGGCGAAAGCCGGAUUAAUACCGCAUACGACCUGAGGGUGAAAGCGGGGGACCGAAAGGCCUCGCGCUAUUGGAGCGGCCGAUGUCGGAUUAGCUAGUUGGUGGGGUAAAGGCUUACCAAGGCGACGAUCCGUAGCUGGUCUGAGAGGACGACCAGCCACACUGGGACUGAGACACGGCCCAGACUCCUACGGGAGGCAGCAGUGGGGAAUUUUGGACAAUGGGGGCAACCCUGAUCCAGCCAUGCCGCGUGCGGGAAGAAGGCCUGCGGGUUGUAAACCGCUUUUGUUCGGGAAGAAAUCCUCUGGGCUAAUACCCCGGGGGGAGGACGGGACCGGAAGAAUAAGCACCGGCUAACUACGU
Molecule: ribosomal RNA, 483 nt
Filed under: uncultured bacterium
Lineage: Bacteria
Description: partial 16S ribosomal RNA
Rfam family: Bacterial small subunit ribosomal RNA
Source: RNAcentral